AGUGCUCAGGGUCAGGAACGAGCUGG
RNAcentral lists this non-coding RNA (26 nucleotides) under Homo sapiens (human). The record is from RNAcentral. Lineage: Eukaryota; Metazoa; Chordata; Mammalia; Primates; Hominidae.